UACGGAGGGUGCAAACGGUGCUCGGAAUCAUUGGGCGUAAAGCGCACGUAGGCGGUUUGUUAAGUCGGGUGUGAAAGCCCCAGGCUCAACCUGGGAAGUGCACUCGAAACUGGCGAACUUGAAUAUGGAAGAGGGUCGCGGAAUUCCCGGUGUAGAGGUGAAAUUCGUAGAUAUCGGGAGGAACACCAGUGGCGAAGGCGGCGACCUGGGCCAAUAUUGACGCUGAGGUGCGAAAGCGUGGGGAGCAAACAGG
RNAcentral lists this ribosomal RNA (253 nucleotides) under uncultured bacterium. RNAcentral's name for it is "partial 16S ribosomal RNA". It matches the Rfam family "Bacterial small subunit ribosomal RNA", at positions 524 to 776 of the family's 1533-position model. The record is from RNAcentral.